RNAcentral lists this ribosomal RNA (497 nucleotides) under uncultured bacterium. RNAcentral describes it as "partial 16S ribosomal RNA". It matches the Rfam family "Bacterial small subunit ribosomal RNA", at positions 28 to 507 of the family's 1533-position model. The record is from RNAcentral.
GAUGAACGCUGGCGGCGUGCCUAAUACAUGCAAGUCGAGCGAACGGACGAGAAGCUUGCUUCUCUGAUGUUAGCGGCGGACGGGUGAGUAACACGUGGAUAACCUACCUAUAAGUCUGGGAUAACUUCGGGAAACCGGAGCUUAUACCGGAUAAUAUUUUGAACCGCAUGGUUCAAAAGUGAAAGACGGUCUUGCUGUCACUUAUAGAUGGAUCCGCGCUGCAUUAGCUAGUUGGUACGGUAACGGCCUACCAAGGCUAGGAUGCAUAGCCGACCUGAGAGAGUGAUCGGCCACACUGGAACUGAGACACGGUCCAGACGCCUACGAGAGGCAGCAGAAGGGAAUCGUCCGCAAUGGGCGGAAGCCUGACGGAGCAACGGCGCGUGAGUGAUGACGGUCUUCGGAUCGUAAAACUCUGUUAUUAGGGAAGAACAUAUGUGUAAGUAACUGUGCACAUCUUGACGGUAACUAAUCAGAAAGCCACGGCUAACUACGUG